Molecule: long non-coding RNA, 1642 nt
Filed under: Chinchilla lanigera (long-tailed chinchilla)
Lineage: Eukaryota; Metazoa; Chordata; Mammalia; Rodentia; Chinchillidae
Description: lncRNA (ENSCLAG00000024695.1)
Source: RNAcentral
CUGCAGGCUGCGGAUGGGGAGCUGAGGCUGCAGAGCUGCCGGAGGUCGCACGGGGUGUGCCUGUGUCCUGCUGUGCCAGGCCUGACGCCCCCAAGUCCUGGCUGGCCUCUGGAGCCCACAGGAUGCACUCAGUGCUGAUGGGGCCCCAGGACCACCAGGAGGACCCCUUGGCUAGAAUCCGGCACAGCAGGCACCAGAUUCAAACCCAGACUGCAGCGUGUGCUGUGUGGUGCUGACAGAGCUGACCACAGCUCCAGACUGCAGCCAUACACUCAGGAAGGCGCCGUGAGUACUGCCACCAGAACCGAGCCCCAUGGGGCGGCCGGCCCCACGGUGUGUCUGAUGCGUGGUCCCAGCCCAGAGGUAAUGGCAGGACCCAGCAGCUCAGCAUGCCCCAGAGCCUGUCCACUUUCCACUGGAGACAAGCUCAGCAGGAAGAAAAGACCAGCAUUCGUGUCUUCGCAGCUGCCACCCACGGCCACUGGCUCCGUCCUCUCCUCCACUCCACCUCAGAUCUGGUCGACGAAGAGCUGAGCAGCUUUGCUCCGCGCGCUACUGCCUGGGCUCCUGGGACUUCCCGACUGCUCUCCGCGCCUCCGCACACACCCUGCCGGCGGUGUCCUCUGUGGUCUCACAGCAGGGCCCGUGGUCCUGACCGUGGCCAGGUCCCGCCGGGGCAGAGCACGCUGGGCUCGAGUGUGACCUGCUCGGCCACUUGCUCACCACUGACAUUAUCAGACUGCUUGUGGUUCAGCUCCGCAUUCUUCCAGAGUGUUUCUGCACACACACUGUUGUACCUUCCUGUUUCUACCCGAAUGACGUUAACCUCUACCUCUGUUCUGAAACCUUUCACUAGCAAGGUGACAGUGCUCACUUACAAAUACAAGCUCCCUACGCUGCUUCACGUGUUAGCAAACUGAACAUCACCUAAACUCUAACAUCUUGGAAGACGUCUGCCCAGAGUCGGGCCUUACGCAAAGCAGUGAAUGACACACCGAGGCUGAAUACACAGACCAUGAGUCCCGAGGCUCCGGAGGAUCGGGAGCCUCCUCCGACUGACCUGCAGGCGGACGCCACCCCAUGUGCUGGGCCACAGCAGCGAGGCUUCCAAAGGCCCCCAGCAUCUUGGUUCCCAGACUGUGAACUAAGCAGAGCCCAGCAAGUCCCGUUUUUCACCAUCUCAUACUUGGUAUCUUUUGACAAACUGCCCCAAACCCCAGCACGACCCCAUCUUUUCCCAACGUAAGUGCUCAUUGGUUUUUCCUUGAGUAUGAGCCACGGCCCCUGACAGGAAACCAGACCAGCCUGCCACCCUGCUCAGGCUGACUAGUGCUUAUAAAACUGACCAGGUCCCCGGGACAAGGUCCCAAAUCGGUCGAUGCUGCAGUUUAGCUUUAUGACUGGGAGCUCCGGUGUGGACAAUGGCAAAUCCCCACGUCAGUUCUUAGUUCCACGAAAGACACAGGAAACACAAGUAGUCGAUGCUAAAUCACACAACACUGCUUCUGUUGGUUCUUAAGGCCUCCGUAGGUUUCUUCUCUCUCUUUUUUAAAUUCAAAUGAUGCUCUGAAGUGGCCCUCACCCCAGAAACCUCAGAAUGAAAGUAAAGAGGUACUUACAGGGACAGAUCCAUCAAAACUCA